Molecule: ribosomal RNA, 325 nt
Filed under: uncultured eukaryote
Lineage: Eukaryota
Description: partial 18S ribosomal RNA
Rfam family: Eukaryotic small subunit ribosomal RNA
Source: RNAcentral
CCCUUAGAUGUUCUGGGCCGCACGCGCGCUACACUGACUGCUCCAACAAGUUACCUGGGCUGACAAGCGUCCGGGAAAUCUUGCAAAGGCAGUCGUGAUGGGGAUAGAUUCUUGUAAUUUUUGAUCUUCAACGAGGAAUUCCUAGUAAACGCAAGUCAUCAGCUUGCAUUGAUUACGUCCCUGCCCUUUGUACACACCGCCCGUCGCAUCUACCGAUUGAAUGGAGAGGCAAAAUCUUCGGACCGUGACGCUUGGGAGUCAAAUCUCGGGCUGUCGUGGGAAGUGGAUUAAACCUUUCUAUUUAGAGGAAGGUAAAGUCGUAACA